GACGAACGCUGGCGGCGUGCUUAACACAUGCAAGUCGAACGGAAAGGCCCUGCUUGCAGGGUACUCGAGUGGCGAACGGGUGAGUAACACGUGGGUGAUCUGCCCUGCACUUCGGGAUAAGCCUGGGAAACUGGGUCUAAUACCGGAUAGGAGCCAUUUUUAGUGUGAUGGUUGGAAAGUUUUUUCGGUGUAGGAUGAGCUCGCGGCCUAUCAGCUUGUUGGUGGGGUAAUGGCCUACCAAGGCGGCGACGGGUAGCCGGCCUGAGAGGGUGGACGGCCACAUUGGGACUGAGAUACGGCCCAGACUCCUACGGGAGGCAGCAGUGGGGAAUAUUGCACAAUGGGCGCAAGCCUGAUGCAGCGACGCCGCGUGGGGGAGGACGGCCUUCGGGUUGUAAAAUCCUUUCGCUAGGGACGAAGCUUUUUGUGACGGUACCUAGAUAAGAAGCACCGGCUAACUACGUG
Molecule: ribosomal RNA, 465 nt
Filed under: uncultured bacterium
Lineage: Bacteria
Description: partial 16S ribosomal RNA
Rfam family: Bacterial small subunit ribosomal RNA
Source: RNAcentral